GGCCGUACGUUCUCUGCACUACUGGGCGUAAGCGCGCGCAGGCGGUUCCUUGGCUGUGAUGUGAAAGCCCACGGCUCGCCGUGGAGGGUCAUUGGAAACUGGGGAACUUGAGUGCAGAAGAGGAAAGUGGAAUUGCGAGUGUAGCGGUGAACUGUGUACAGAUUUGGAGGAACACCAGUGGCGAAGGCGACUUUCUGGUCUGUAACUGACGCUGAGGCGCGAAAGCGUGGGGAGCAAACAGGAUUACAUACCCUGGUAGUCCACACCGUAAACGAUGAUUGCUAAGUGUUAGAGGGUUUCCGCCCUUUAAUGCUGCAGCAAACGCAUUAAGCACUCCGCCUGGGGAGUACGACCGCAAGGUUGAAACUCAAAGGAAUUGACGGGGGCCCGCACAAGCGGUGGAGCAUGUGGUUUAAUUCAAAACAACGCAAAGAACCUUACCAGGUCUUGACAUCCUCUGACAAUCCUAGAGAUACGACUUUCCCCUUCGGGGGACAGAGUGACAGGUGGUGCAUGGUUGUCGUCAGCUCGUGUCGUGAGAUGUUGGGUUAAGUCCCGCAACGAGCGCAACCCUUGAUCUUAGUUGCCAGCAUUCAGUUGGGCACUCUAAGGUGACUGCCGGUGACAAACCGGAGGAAGGUGGGGAUGACGUCAAAUCAUCAUGCCCCUUAUGACCUGGGCUACACACGUGCUACAAUGGAUGGUACAAAGGGCUGCAAGACCGCGAGGUUUAGCCAAUCCCAUAAAACCAUUCUCAGUUCGGAUUGUAGGCUGCAACUCGCCUACAUGAAGCCGGAAUC
This 800-nucleotide ribosomal RNA is filed under the name Bacillus sp. SKS54. Its description in RNAcentral is "bacterial SSU rRNA". It matches the Rfam family "Bacterial small subunit ribosomal RNA", at positions 532 to 1333 of the family's 1533-position model. The record is from RNAcentral. Lineage: Bacteria; Bacillati; Bacillota; Bacilli; Caryophanales; Bacillaceae.